GACGAACGCUGGCGGCGUGCUUAACACAUGCAAGUCGAACGGAAGGGCCCUGCUUUUGUGGGGUGCUCGAGUGGCGAACGGGUGAGUAACACGUGAGUAACCUGCCCUUGACUUUGGGAUAACUUCAGGAAACUGGGGCUAAUACCGGAUAGGAGCUCCUGCUGCAUGGUGGGGGUUGGAAAGUUUCGGCGGUUGGGGAUGGACUCGCGGCUUAUCAGCUUGUUGGUGGGGUAGUGGCUUACCAAGGCUUUGACGGGUAGCCGGCCUGAGAGGGUGACCGGCCACAUUGGGACUGAGAUACGGCCCAGACUCCUACGGGAGGCAGCAGGGGGGAAUAUUGCACAAUGGGCGGAAGCCUGAUGCAGCAACGCCGCGUGCGGGAUGACGGCCUUCGGGUUGUAAACCGCUUUCGCCUGUGACGAAGCGUGAGUGACGGUAAUGGGUAAAGAAGCACCGGCUAACUACGUG
Molecule: ribosomal RNA, 468 nt
Filed under: uncultured bacterium
Lineage: Bacteria
Description: partial 16S ribosomal RNA
Rfam family: Bacterial small subunit ribosomal RNA
Source: RNAcentral